Trichonephila clavata is the source of this 72-nucleotide non-coding RNA. NCBI's taxonomy places the organism in Eukaryota, Metazoa, Arthropoda, Arachnida, Araneae, Nephilidae. The record is from the annotation of a GenBank genome assembly.
CGUUUCGUAGUGUAGUGGUAAUCACGGUCAUUUCACACGCGAAAGGUCUCCGGUUCGAUCCGGACGGAACCA